GGGUUUGAUUCUGGCUCAGGACGAACGCUGGCGGCGUGCUUAACACAUGCAAGUCGAACGAUGAAAGCAGGAGCUUGCUUCUGCUGGAUUAGUGGCGAACGGGUGAGUAACACGUGAGUAACCUGCCCUUGACUCUGGGAUAAGCGUUGGAAACGACGUCUAAUACCGGAUACGAGCUAGGACCGCAUGGUCACUAGUUGGAAAGAACUUUGGUCAAGGAUGGACUCGCGGCCUAUCAGCUAGUUGGUGAGGUAACGGCCCACCAAGGCGACGACGGGUAGCCGGCCUGAGAGGGUGACCGGCCACACUGGGACUGAGACACGGCCCAGACUCCUACGGGAGGCAGCAGUGGGGAAUAUUGCACAAUGGGCGAAAGCCUGAUGCAGCAACGCCGCGUGAGGGACGACGGCCUUCGGGUUGUAAACCUCUUUUAGCAGGGAAGAAGCGAAAGUGACGGUACCUGCAGAAAAAGCACCGGCUUAAAUACGUGC
Molecule: ribosomal RNA, 491 nt
Filed under: uncultured bacterium
Lineage: Bacteria
Description: bacterial SSU rRNA
Rfam family: Bacterial small subunit ribosomal RNA
Source: RNAcentral